Molecule: transfer RNA, 76 nt
Filed under: Acetatifactor muris
Lineage: Bacteria; Bacillati; Bacillota; Clostridia; Lachnospirales; Lachnospiraceae
Rfam family: tRNA
About the family: Transfer RNA (tRNA) molecules are approximately 80 nucleotides in length. Their secondary structure includes four short double-helical elements and three loops (D, anti-codon, and T loops).
Source: Rfam by way of RNAcentral
AGUUGUGUGGAGAAGUUUGGUUGUUCUCGCUUGAUUUGGGAUCAAGAGUACGCAGGUUCAAAUCCUGUCACAACUA